AUUGAACGCUGGCGGAACGCUUUACACAUGCAAGUCGAACGGCAGCACGGACUUCAGUCUGGUGGCGAGUGGCGAACGGGUGAGUAAUACAUCGGAACGUGCCCAGUCGUGGGGGAUAACGUAGCGAAAGCUACGCUAAUACCGCAUACGAUCUAAGGAUGAAAGCGGGGGACCGUAAGGCCUCGCGCGAUUGGAGCGGCCGAUGGCAGAUUAGGUAGUUGGUGGGGUAAAGGCUCACCAAGCCGACGAUCUGUAGCUGGUCUGAGAGGACGACCAGCCACACUGGGAAUGGGACACGGCCCAGACUCCUACGGGAGGCAGCAGUGGGGAAUUUUGGACAAUGGGCGCAAGCCUGAUCCAGCCAUUCCGCGUGCAGGAUGAAGGCCCUCGGGUUGUAAACUGCUUUUGUACGGAACGAAAAGGCUCUGGUUAAUACCUGGGGCUCAUGACGGUACCGUAAGAAUAAGCACCGGCUAACUACGUGCCAGCCGCCGCUGUAA
RNAcentral lists this ribosomal RNA (500 nucleotides) under uncultured bacterium. Its description in RNAcentral is "partial 16S ribosomal RNA". It matches the Rfam family "Bacterial small subunit ribosomal RNA", at positions 30 to 523 of the family's 1533-position model. The record is from RNAcentral.